AUUGAACGCUGGCGGCAUGCCUUACACAUGCAAGUCGAACGGUAACGGGUCCUUCGGGAUACCGACGAGUGGCGAACGGGUGAGUAAUAUAUCGGAACGUGCCCAGUAGUGGGGGAUAACUGCUCGAAAGAGCAGCUAAUACCGCAUACGACCUGAGGGUGAAAGGGGGGGAUCGCAAGACCUCUCGCUAUUGGAGCGGCCGAUAUCAGAUUAGCUAGUUGGUGGGGUAAAGGCCUACCAAGGCAACGAUCUGUAGUUGGUCUGAGAGGACGACCAGCCACACUGGGACUGAGACACGGCCCAGACUCCUACGGGAGGCAGCAGUGGGGAAUUUUGGACAAUGGGCGCAAGCCUGAUCCAGCAAUGCCGCGUGCAGGAAGAAGGCCUUCGGGUUGUAAACUGCUUUUGUCAGGGAGGAAAUCUUCUGGGCUAAUACCCCGGGAGGAUGACGGUACCUGAAGAAUAAGCACCGGCUAACUACGUGCCAGCAGCCGCCGUAA
RNAcentral lists this ribosomal RNA (500 nucleotides) under uncultured bacterium. RNAcentral describes it as "partial 16S ribosomal RNA". It matches the Rfam family "Bacterial small subunit ribosomal RNA", at positions 30 to 523 of the family's 1533-position model. The record is from RNAcentral.